GGAGAGGAUGAGAGGAUGGUAUUGGUUGGGAAGAGAGCAGGCAUCGUGCUGAAAAGGAAGAGGAAGGGGAGGGAAGCAUUGUCUCAGCAGGAGAAUGUUAUUCUCCAGCCCUUACCGCUCCACAGCAGCCAAUGAACCUCCAGGGCCAAAGGAUAAAUGCACCAUCGCUGGAGUAUUGCAGCAUUUAGAAGCCUCACUCACUGACUCACAGCUGUCUGACCCCUCCACCACAACCACUUUGAAUUUGUCUCGGCACCCAGCCACCUUCUCUGCUGAGGUGUAGCUGGAUAAUCCUUGUGCUUUUACAGUGCCUGCCUGUGUGCAGCACUGAGGUGAGACCACACUUUCUUCUCGCUUAUUUUGGUACGGGGGGAGCACUGGUCUUGUGAUGCAUUUGCCAGACCUUCAUUCUAUGAAUGCAGCAAAACAGCACUGAAAUAAACCA
RNAcentral lists this long non-coding RNA (445 nucleotides) under Junco hyemalis (dark-eyed junco). Its description in RNAcentral is "lncRNA (ENSJHYG00000006319.1)". The record is from RNAcentral. Lineage: Eukaryota; Metazoa; Chordata; Aves; Passeriformes; Passerellidae.